Long non-coding RNA from Acanthochromis polyacanthus (spiny chromis), 5326 nucleotides. RefSeq lists it as uncharacterized. The record is from RefSeq and is a predicted model, not a curated record. Lineage: Eukaryota; Metazoa; Chordata; Actinopteri; Pomacentridae. The transcript has 4 exons.
UGAAAUAGGGCUGGACAAAAAUGAUGGUACCCAUAACUUAAUAUUUUGUUGCGCAACCUUUUGAGGCAAUCACUGCAAUUAAAUGAUUUCUGUAUUUGUCAAUGAGCGUUCUGCAGCUGUCAACAGGUAUUUUGGCCCACUCCUCAUGAGCAAACAGCUCCAGUUGUCUCAGGUUUGAUGGGUGUCUUCUCCAAAUGGCAUGUUUCAGCUCCUUCCACAUAUGUUGAAUGGGAUUCAGAUCUGGGCUCAUAGAAGGCCACUUUAGAAUAGUCCAACGCUUUUCUCUCAGCCAUUCUUGGGUGUUUUUGGCUGUGUGUUUUGGAUCGUUGUCCUGUUGGAAGACCCAUGACCUGCGACUGAGACCAAGCUUUCUGACACUAGGCAGCACAUUUCUCUCCAGAAUGCCUUGAUAGUCUUCAGAUUUCAUCGUACCUUGCACACUUUCAAGACACCCUGUGCCAGAUGCAGCAAAGCAGCCCCAAAACAUUACUGAGCCUCCUCCAUGUUUCACCGUAGGGACAGUGUUCUUUUCUUCGUAUGCUUGGUUUUUGAGUCUAUGAACAUAGAGUUGAUGUGCCUUACCAAAAAGCUCCAGUUUGGUCUCAUCUGUCCAAAGGACAUUCUCCCAGAAGCUUUGUGGCUUGUCAACAUGCAUUUUUGCAAAUUCCAGUCUGGCUUUUUUAUGAGUUUUUUUUCAGCAGUGGUGUCCUCCUUGGUCGUCUCCCAUGAAGUCCACUUUGGCUCAAACAACGACGAAUGGUGCGAUCUGACACUGAUGUACCUUGGCCUUGGAGUUCACCUUUAAUUUCUUUGGAGGUUGCUCUGGGCUCUUUGGAUACAAUUCCAACGAUCCGUCUCUUCAAUUUGUCAUCAAUUUUCCUCUUGCGGCCACGUCCAGGGAGGUUGGCUACUGUCCCGUGGGUCUUGAACUUCUGAAUAAUAUGAGCCACUGUUGUCACAGGAACUUCAAGCUGUUUAGAGAUGGUCUUAUAGCCUUUACCUUUAAGAUGUUUGUCUAUAAUUUUUUUUCGGAUGUCCUGGGACAAUUCUCUCCUUCGCUUUCUGUUGUCCAUGUUCAGUGUGGUACACACCUUUUCACCAAACAGCAGGGUGACUACUUGUCUCCCUUUAAAUAGGCAGACUGACUGAUUAUGAGUUUGGAAACACCUGUGAUGUCAAUUAAAUGACACACCUGAGUUAAUCAUGUCACUCUGGUCAAAUAGUUUUCAAUCUUUUAUAGAGGUACCAUCAUUUUUGUCCAGGCCUGUUUCAUUAGUUUGUUUUUUUAAAUAAUUAUGUUAAUCAACAAUUCAAAAGUGAUGGCUGUUUUUGAUUAUUUAAUUUUCAAUAAUUUUUUAUUUAUUGUUACUUUUGUGAGUUUCAAGUGAUUUCAGUGAGAAUUGUGGGUUUUUCCUUCUUUAACUGAGGGGUACCAACAAUUUUGUCCACGUGUGUAUGCACAGUAGUGAAAUGUAUUAAGCACCUGUUCCAGACCGAAACAAUAAGAAUAAGAAGCAUGAGAAUACAAACAUGCAAGGAAUAGAUAGAUAGAUAGAUAGAUAGAUAGAUAGAUAGAUAGAUAGAUAGAUAGAUAGAUAGAUAGAUAGAUAGAUAGAUAGAUAGAUAGAUAGAUCAAGGUGUCAAAUAUUUCAACAAAAAAAAAUACAAUUUGAAGAGUAACACAGAUAGUGAACAGAAUUUGCAGUUGAUUUGUCUAUUAGGCGGACAGCCUGUGGGAAGAAGCUCCUCCUCUCUGUGUUUACAAUAACCCCGCCCUGGUUGCAGCAGAGAAAACAGUCUAUAGCUGAGGUGGGUGGGAUCAUGAGCAAUCUUACUGGCCUUUAACCUGCAUCGUUUGUUGUAAACAUCCUGCAGGUUGGGGAGGGUGGUUCUGAUGGUGCCUUCAGCCAAGCGGCCCAUCCAGGUGGUGAUACUCUCAGCCAAAACACUCUCAUGGUGCAGGUGUAGAAGUUCCUGAGCACUUUGAGAGGGAGCUUGAAGUCCCUCAGGCGUCUGAAGUGGUAGAGACGCUGUCGAGCUUUCUUCACCAUAGUGUUGAUGUAACAGGACCACGUCAGGUCCUGCAUGAUGUUAACACCCAAAUGCAUGAAGCUGUCCACUUUCUGAUCCUGAGUGGGUGGAAUGCCCUCUGCUGCUUCUUGCUGUAAUCCACUAUCAGCUCCUUGGUCUUGCUGACAUUCAGGAGAAGGCUGUUGUUUCUGCAUCAGUCCUCCAGGUGGGUAAUCUCCAUCAAAUAGACAUAUGUAUAUUUUUGCAAAGAUUUUCUGUUAUAGUGUUGUUAUUGUAAUACGUUAUUUUUAGUUUUGUGAUAAUGAUGCAGUUCACUAUUUCUACUUGUAGAUUAAAUUAUCAAUUUCAUUUCUGUUCACUGAACAACAUUAGAUGUUUCCUGUGCUACAAAGAGUCCUGGUUUUAUUCUGGAAUAAGAUUUUUUUUUUUGUAAUUAUUUAGGAUUAUGAUGACAGAAAAUUCCUGCUGAUUUCCACUUUUUACAACACGGUUAAUUUAGGGAGAUGUUUAUCACUACACGUCUAACAAUAGAUUCACAAUGGAUUUGUGGUUGUUUUUGCAACUAAAAGUGCAUCUUACAUGUGUUUUGCAUGAUGUAUCUCUUUGUGAUCAUUUCUGUAAUUUUGCUUUUAUCUCUUUAUGGUUAUUUUUUGUCCAGCUUGUCAUUUUUGCAUCACAUAUUGGGCUUUCUGCUUCUAUUUGUUGCUAUUUGGUCUGUUUGUAGUCAGUUUCUGUUGUGUUUCUGUAAUUUCUGUUUCAUUUAGUGGUUUUGCAUUCAUCUGGUGUCAUAUUGGUAACGUUUCAGCAACAUUUUGGGCAACGUUUUGGUUAUUUUCAUCUCCUUGGGUUUCUUUUUUUAGGUCUGUUUUACGUGUCUUUUUGGUUGUUUCGUCUUUCUGAGAUAUACAGUAUCUCAUAAUUCUUGGAAUAAGACUAGGGGGUGUUGUCCCAUUAAUGUUUAUCUUUUUUUCUAACAUUCUUCUGAUUAAUCUGUCUCUCAUUCUUACUCACUGUGGACUAGAAAUUACCAAAUCUGUAGAAACGGCAUCGUCCCAAAAAUGUGGAAACCUUUUGUUGAAUUCAAAACUUUAAAUCACUCAUAUGAGUGUAUUUUCCACCUCUAAAGUACCUAAAUCCACAGAGUGUAAACUCUACAUUCUGUGCUAUGUUUUGUGUAUGAAGGAAUAGUUGUUUAUGGUUUCUCAUAAUAAGUUUAGCUGCAGUUAUCCAACUAUUAACUUCAUUUGAUAUUAAUGAAGCCUUUUUCAAGCUGUAAUCUUCCCUCUGAGUGUAGUUUCUUUAUUAUCUGGAGUAUCCAAGUUUUCUUGAGCACCUCCUAGCUUUUUCAUACUCCUAGAUGCUGUAGUCUUCUCUGUCUCUGUAGCUACAUUUGUUCCCUUUUUAGCUCUGGUAAAGUAAAGGCAUUGCUGAUAGUGUUCUAGUUGUAAUAAUGUCACCACAGACACCAGAUCUAAAACACAGAAAGAUCUUUCUUGGUGCUGAUACUGAUGCUACGUUUAAGCUAAAAAAAAAAAAAGAGAGAGGAUUUUACUUUUACUUUCUUUUCAUGCAUUACAUAAUAAAAUGCCAUUGAAUGCCAUCCCUCCAUCAGACUCAUCAGAUGUGCUGUUAAAACACAUGAUCAAAACAUGAGAUUGUCGGAAUUCCCCGUUGUACCAGUAAGACUCUGUGAUGCUUUUUAAAUACACCUGUCAAGUCCUUUGACAGAGCAUUCAGGGAGAGAACACGAUGGCAGGCAAGUGUGUCUUCAUAUAUUUACAUAAAGACUGUGUCUGGUUCGUCAGGUGGCCUUUAGUAAACUACAGGAUACACCGGUGUCUCAAAUAACACCAGUAAUUUAACUUUGGCUCUUCUGAGCUAUAAUGAUCUGCAGGGUAUUUAUUUAUCUGUGUUUUGAUUUAGCAUGAAUGUAAGGAGGAAAAUUCUUCCACUUAGAGUUCAUGGUUACAUUUAAAACUAUAGAAUAUGUCUCUGACAACUCCAUUUACCAACUCUUACCCUGGAACAAAAAUUCACCUUUAGUUUCACUUCUAGAAUGCGCAUGAAAACAAUAAGAGAGUAAUAAUGUAAUGUUCUUUAGCUCCAUCUACAGGUCGCCCAGUGACAGUAACUGUCGGUACCGUUUGGACGCUACAGGUGGAACCUCCUCCACCCAGACCACCAAGACUAUCAGGCACCACCUUCAUCGUACGUAGUGUCUUCAUCGCAGCUCAAAUCAUCUUUGGUGUUGUGUAUUUCAAGGACUGCCCUCAGCAGCCCAACAUCCCCAACUAUCUCCUAGGGUUGGCUUUGAUACAGCUGCUCAUGGUAUCAUUUGUGACCCUCCCAUGUGAGAGUGAAGCAGCUCAGCCACGGGAGCAUCCCAGAGGCUUCAAAGCCUUUCUGAUAUUUUUAUUGUCCCUUUUUACCUUCACAUGGAUCCUGAUAGGUGAUGUGUGGGUGUUCUCAGUCUACCAGCCAAACUAUGACCCCACAGCUGCUGAUGGUCUCUACUGUAAUAAGAGCUUGUACACGUUUGCUUUCUGGAACGCCGUAUUGGAGACCUUUGUGAUCGGAGUCCUCUUGGCCAAAUUCAUCAAAGGUCUGCUGUGUUUUGUGAAGAUGACUCCUGUACCAGCAGACUUCUAUGGGCAAGUCUGAGGCCGUUUGGGAGCAGGGUAAUGAUUAAUAUGAUCAUGUGUGAGGUUGUUUUUUUUUUUUUUACAAUUUUAUCUUCUUUGUUCUUUGUAUUUAAGAAAUUACAACUGUUUUUACUGUUUCUUAUUGACAGUUUAAGCCAAUCAAGAAUGUGAAGGCUGGCUUCCCAAAGGCCAUUACUAAUGGCAUAGUUCUUUAAAAUAAUAAAAUAAAAUUCUGGGCCUUGUAGUUUUUAGCAAGUGUUAUCCAUACAUGAACAGUUAAUUCAUUGGUAUUGUUUCAUCUGCGGAUUGGUCUACAAAGUGUUCCCUAAACUUGGUUUUUGACAACCAUAAAGAUAUGUGAUGAAUAAGCAGAAUAUAGCUUUGGAGACACAGAUAAAGCUUGUUCAGUUUAAUGAUUUUUUUCAGAGGACUUGUUGACAAUGAGGAAAAUAUGCUAUGUGGCCAACUUUCCCACAGCAUUUUUUAUUGAUUUGUUAUUUUACAUUGUUUGUUUUUUCACCUCAAAAAGCUGGGAGACUUUAGCUUUAUGUAGAAUUGAUGUAUAUUUUUGAUUAUUUUUUCUUUGUUAAUUUUGUGUAAUAUUUAAUUUAAUAUUCCCUGUGUUUAAAUAAAGCUCUGUAUAAAAAUGAGAA